This 669-nucleotide ribosomal RNA is filed under the name Microbacterium sp. Its description in RNAcentral is "bacterial SSU rRNA". It matches the Rfam family "Bacterial small subunit ribosomal RNA", at positions 42 to 721 of the family's 1533-position model. Lineage: Bacteria; Bacillati; Actinomycetota; Actinomycetes; Micrococcales; Microbacteriaceae. The record is from RNAcentral.
GCGUGCUUAACACAUGCAAGUCGAACGGUGAACACGGAGCUUGCUCUGUGGGAUCAGUGGCGAACGGGUGAGUAACACGUGAGCAACCUACCCCUGACUCUGGGAUAAGCGCUGGAAACGGCGUCUAAUACUGGAUACGAGUGGCGACCGCAUGGUCAGCUACUGGAAAGAUUUAUUGGUUGGGGAUGGGCUCGCGGCCUAUCAGCUUGUUGGUGAGGUAAUGGCUCACCAAGGCGUCGACGGGUAGCCGGCCUGAGAGGGUGACCGGCCACACUGGGACUGAGACACGGCCCAGACUCCUACGGGAGGCAGCAGUGGGGAAUAUUGCACAAUGGGCGCAAGCCUGAUGCAGCAACGCCGCGUGAGGGAUGACGGCCUUCGGGUUGUAAACCUCUUUUAGCAGGGAAGAAGCGAAAGUGACGGUACCUGCAGAAAAAGCGCCGGCUAACUACGUGCCAGCAGCCGCGGUAAUACGUAGGGCGCAAGCGUUAUCCGGAAUUAUUGGGCGUAAAGAGCUCGUAGGCGGUUUGUCGCGUCUGCUGUGAAAUCCGGAGGCUCAACCUCCGGCCUGCAGUGGGUACGGGCAGACUAGAGUGCGGUAGGGGAGAUUGGAAUUCCUGGUGUAGCGGUGGAAUGCGCAGAUAUCAGGAGGAACACCGAUGGCGAAGG